AUGGUGAUUUCGAUAACGCGAUGUGUUCAGCCGCUCCAAUCUAGAGGCUUUCCUAUGUGGAAUUACAACGGGGAGGACGACGCGUCCCGUUGUCUACGCAAGGGUCCAGACAAUUUUGCUGCCCUGGCCACCAUCCUAGCUAACCUUUACAAAGGGGAGAAGGAAGACUUCACUCGCUUGAAAUGUCGGGAAGGUUUUUCCAUGUAUAACCCCAUCGACUGGGAAUGGAGAAAGGUCGACGAGGGGGUCUACAGCCCCGCUCCACAACCAGAGGACCAUGUUCGAGACCUGGAUCCCGGAAUGAAGAAGAUCCGGAUAUAUUCAAAGAACUUAAGGAGGGGGUCUUCUAUCAGGCGAGCUACGAUGACACAGAAGUGGCCAUUAUAG
Molecule: ribosomal RNA, 387 nt
Filed under: Triticum aestivum (bread wheat)
Lineage: Eukaryota; Viridiplantae; Streptophyta; Magnoliopsida; Poales; Poaceae
Description: partial small subunit ribosomal RNA
Source: RNAcentral